GUGGGGAAUAUUGCGCAAUGGGCGAAAGCCUGACGCAGCGACGCCGCGUGAGGGAUGAAGGUUUUCGGAUCGUAAACCUCUGUCAGAAGGGAAGAAACUACAUUGUGCUAAUCAGCAGUGUACUGACGGUACCUUCAAAGGAAGCACCGGCUAACUCCGUGCCAGCAGCCGCGGUAAUACGGAGGGUGCAAGCGUUAAUCGGAAUUACUGGGCGUAAAGCGCACGUAGGCUGUAGUGUAAGUCAGGGGUGAAAGCCCACGGCUCAACCGUGGAACUGCCUUUGAUACUGCACAACUUGAAUCCGGGAGGGGGUGGCGGAAUUCCAGGUGUAGGAGUGAAAUCCGUAGAUAUCUGGAGGAACAUCAGUGGCGAAGGCGGCCACCUGGACCGGUAUUGACGCUGAGGCGCGAAAGCCAGGGGAGCGAACGGGAUUAGAUACCCCAGUAGUCC
This 450-nucleotide ribosomal RNA is filed under the name uncultured bacterium. RNAcentral's name for it is "partial 16S ribosomal RNA". It matches the Rfam family "Bacterial small subunit ribosomal RNA", at positions 354 to 796 of the family's 1533-position model. The record is from RNAcentral.